GCAAACUUGGUCAUUUAGAGGAAGUAAAAGUCGUAACAAGGUUUCCGUAGGUGAACCUGCGGAAGGAUCAUUACAGUGUCGGCACGGUGGCCUCCGGGCCACCAGCUACUGACCACCCUUGCCUACCUAACCACUGUUGCUUCGGCAGGCCGGUCACCCAGCUUCCUAACCGGAGCUUGGGUGCCCACCUGGGGCCCGGCUUAACAGCCGCCCGGGGCAGCGCCUGCCGGGGGAUUAGUUGAAACUCUUUGCUGAUUAGUGACAACUCUGAGUCCUUACUUAAUAGUUAAAACUUUCAACAACGGAUCUCUUGGUUCCAGCAUCGAUGAAGAACGCAGC
Molecule: unclassified non-coding RNA, 339 nt
Filed under: uncultured fungus
Lineage: Eukaryota; Fungi
Description: partial contains small subunit ribosomal RNA, internal transcribed spacer 1, and 5.8S ribosomal RNA
Rfam family: Eukaryotic small subunit ribosomal RNA (bases 1-73)
Source: RNAcentral